UUCUCGGCAGUCCUCCUGGGCUGGGGCUCGCUGCUCAUCAUGCUCAAGUCGGAGGGCUUUUACUCCUACCUGUGUACCGAGCCAGAGAACGUCACCAAUGGCACAGUGGGCAGCACAGCAGAACCGGGGCACGAGGAGGCGAGCUGGAUGAACGGCUGGCUCAGCUGCCAGGCCCAGGACGAGAUGCUAAAUUUGGCCUUCACUGUGGGCUCCUUUCUGCUCAGUGCCAUCACCCUGCCCCUGGGUAUCGUCAUGGACAAGUAUGGCCCGAGGAAGCUCAGGCUGCUGGGCAGGUCAGUGCGGGUCCCUUAGGGGGCAGGGAGUGGGCAGGUGGACCCCCUGGGCUGAGUUCCCCACAGAAGGGUAUCCUGGUGUACCUGAUAUCAGGUGUACUGUGGAGCUCCCUGAAGGCCCUCCAGAAUGGAGUUCCUACCCCGUCCGCCACCGAAUCAGCAGGUACUGUGGUCCUCGCCAUGCUCCGGUACCGA
This 488-nucleotide small RNA is filed under the name Pongo abelii (Sumatran orangutan). Its description in RNAcentral is "retained intron". The record is from RNAcentral. Lineage: Eukaryota; Metazoa; Chordata; Mammalia; Primates; Hominidae.